GAAACGUUCUUUGACUUCAUUCACGAUCACUAAUUAAAACUCUAGACACUUCAAUAAUUGGGUUUCGUUUUCUCUGAUCCAUCAAGGGAUCCCCCCCCUUCUUUGUAAAUCGAAGACCUUACUAUCUCACUUCCUCUUCCUCGGCCAAGUAACGUUCUGGCUUUAAGUCAAUCACUGUUAAAACCCACUAAUCCCAUGAUUUCCUCUUCAUUGCAACUUUUGGAUUUCCUCAGUUUCUAUCUCUAUAUAUCCUUUUGGUCUCGAGCUUCUCCUCUUUACCAAAAUUAUAAAAAUCUAAGAAUCUUGGCAAGCUUCUACACUCUAAGCUGCGACAUUUCCUUACGAACAGUUGUCGCAAAGUUGAUUCUGUACAGUUCAAAGGUUCAUUCUGCGGAUCAAAAGAUCAUUUGGAUGGCUCAGCAUCGAGCACUGAAACUUCACAUGAAGCAAAAUAUGUCUAUGGAAUCAUAAUCUCCGGAGACCAGAUCCGCAAUACAGCCGUUUCUGCUAUUUAACAAUCCCGUCAUAUAAGUAGUUUGCAAAAGGACACGAUUCCUCUAUCAUCUACAUGAUUGCUUGUGACUCUUCAUUACUUUGUGUAGAGUUCUCAGAGCCUCAGGUUAAAUGCUCAGCUAUUAAAAGGCUCGAUCAUUGUCCCACUUAAAUAUUAGGCUUCUUAGUUUCUUGAGGGUUUUGGCAGAAAUUUGAUAUCGAUAUGACGAAUAUUGCAGAGAACGUGUUGAGGUUCAUAAAAACGUCUUACUAGGCAGAUGAGACUUUUGGCUACAUAAACAUCACAACUCUGAGUUAAACUACCUACAUCAUAUAACAGUUUUUCUUUAAAUAAUCUAACUGACGUUCAUAUUAGCUUGAACAUAUUUGCUAAUGGGACCAGGAACUAAAGCAAACUGCAGAUGGACAAAAGAAUUAGGCCAUUCGAUGGGGUUUACUAAGUCAGUCAUAUGUAUUGCUGUGUUGCAUCAGUCUCAGAGUUGAAUUCCUUGAGUAUUCCUUACAAUGCGGACGUUUAUAGAACAGUAACAGUUUCCUGGGAGCCCGUACACCUCCUUCUGGAACAUGAACUUGAGGGUAAAUACAUGAACUUAAGCUUCUGAAGCUAAUAGUCAGUAGUGAACAUUAUAAAUACACUUACGAAAGACCUGGAGAAUAGAAGUUCACAAAAAGCUUUAGGAAGAAGAUAUGACAUGGUUAGAGAAAGCCGAGGACUUUUGGUUGGGACUCCGAGAGGUCUACAAAACGACCCCACAAAAGAAAAAGAAGAAUGUUUUUUUUUUUUGAGCAAAAAGAAGAAUGUUAAGUUAGAGUAAGUUUCUCAUUACAAUGAAAUAUUUCUUUCAGUAGACCAAUUUGUUGACUUUUUGGUAGGGAGAUUUUAACUAAAUAUACUCUCUUUUUUUCUCUGCGAGCUUCUAACUAAAUUGUCGAAAAUAUG
This is a long non-coding RNA of Raphanus sativus (radish), 1453 nucleotides long. RefSeq lists it as uncharacterized. The transcript has 6 exons. Lineage: Eukaryota; Viridiplantae; Streptophyta; Magnoliopsida; Brassicales; Brassicaceae. The record is from RefSeq and is a predicted model, not a curated record.